This 212-nucleotide long non-coding RNA is filed under the name Elaeis guineensis (African oil palm). RNAcentral describes it as "long non-coding RNA (EGUI_LNC057192)". The record is from RNAcentral. Lineage: Eukaryota; Viridiplantae; Streptophyta; Magnoliopsida; Arecales; Arecaceae.
ACUUGGUGUCACAGGAGGUGAAGCAAGGGGUGGCUCUUGAGUAAUCUUCUUUCUUCUCUCCUCAGCCUCCAAGCAUCUCACAGACUUUCUCCUUUGUGGCAUCCUCAUCUUGGGGGCCAUGAUGCAAAAAGAUGAUGAAAAGUGGUCUAAAGAGUGGAGAAGGAUUGGAUUGACCAAAAUCAAAGAGGAGAAGAGGGCUUUUGAGUGAUUCC